AGCUUUGCGCAGUGGCAGUAUCACAGCCAAUGAGGUUUAUCUGAGGCCCAAUUACUGCUAAUUAAAAUGUGCAGGUAACUGACAAAAAACAUUUGGGGAAACUAUAUUU
Molecule: small nuclear RNA, 109 nt
Organism: Neogale vison (American mink)
Lineage: Eukaryota; Metazoa; Chordata; Mammalia; Carnivora; Mustelidae
Gene: U4
Rfam family: U4 spliceosomal RNA
About the family: U4 small nuclear RNA (U4 snRNA) is a component of the major U2-dependent spliceosome. The structure of U4 snRNA from yeast and human has been reported. U4 snRNA presents a k-turn RNA motif in the 5p-SL related to recognition of Snu13 protein.
Source: Ensembl